Molecule: ribosomal RNA, 333 nt
Filed under: Triticum aestivum (bread wheat)
Lineage: Eukaryota; Viridiplantae; Streptophyta; Magnoliopsida; Poales; Poaceae
Description: partial small subunit ribosomal RNA
Source: RNAcentral
AUGUCGCUGCACCUCUGGUCUCUUGAGGGGGCGGCCGAGGUCCUGGCCGACAAGUGGAUCAUUGACCGCCUCGAUAGCCAGACCCAUGAGCGCAGGCACACGAGGACCUUUGCGUGCUGGGUGUGGGUGUGGAACGUGUUGUUCAUCCCCACCCGGCACACUAUCUAGAGAGCGCCGCAGGGUGCUGGCCGUGUGGAGGCCAUGCUGGGCUACUCGCCACUGAGCCGGGAGGUGGUGCUGCCGCCGCACGUCCGGCGCCACGACAUGCUCGUCCAUGUACAUUGCGUCGAAGACUGGUUGCCUCUCUCACCGUGCUCGUCGCACUCGGCGUAG